RNAcentral lists this ribosomal RNA (472 nucleotides) under uncultured bacterium. RNAcentral describes it as "bacterial SSU rRNA". It matches the Rfam family "Bacterial small subunit ribosomal RNA", at positions 328 to 793 of the family's 1533-position model. The record is from RNAcentral.
CUCUGUGACUCCUACGGGAGGCAGCAGUGAGGAAUAUUGCACAAUGGGCGCAAGCCUGAUGCUGCCAUGCCGCGUGUGUGAAGAAGGCCUUCGGGUUGUAAAGCACUUUCAGUUGUGAGGAAGGUGGUGUCGUUAAUAGCGGCAUCAUUUGACGUUAGCAACAGAAGAAGCACCGGCUAACUCCGUGCCAGCAGCCGCGGUAAUACGGAGGGUGCGAGCGUUAAUCGGAAUUACUGGGCGUAAAGCGCAUGCAGGUGGUUUGUUAAGUCAGAUGUGAAAGCCCGGGGCUCAACCUCGGAACUGCAUUUGAAACUGGCAGACUAGAGUACUGUAGAGGGGGUAGAAUUUCAGGUGUAGCGGUGAAAUGCGUAGAGAUCUGAAGGAAUACCGGUGGCGAAGGCGGCCCCCUGGACAGAUACUGACACUCAGAUGCGAAAGCGUGGGGAGCAAACAGGAUUAGAUACCCUUGUAG